GAUGAACGCUGGCGGCGUGCCUAAUACAUGCAAGUCGAGCGAACGGACGAGAAGCUUGCUUUUCUGAUGUUAGCGGCGGACGGGUGAGUAACACGUGGAUAACCUACCUAUAAGACUGGGAUAACUUCGGGAACCCGGAGCUAAUACCGGAUAAUAUUUUGAACCGCAUGGUUCAAAAGUGAAAGACGGUCUUGCUGUCACUUAUAGAUGGAUCCGCGCUGCAUUAGCUAGUUGGUAAGGUAACGGCUUACCAAGGCAACGAUGGAUAGCCGACCUGAGAGGGUGAUCGGCCACACUGGAACUGAGACACGGUCCAGACUCCUACGGGAGGCAGCAGUAGGGAAUCUUCCGCAAUGGGCGAAAGCCUGACGGAGCAACGCCGCGUGAGUGAUGAAGGUCUUCGGAUCGUAAAACUCUGUUAUUAGGGAAGAACAUAUGUGUAAGUAACUGUGCACAUCUUGACGGUACCUAAUCAGAAAGCCACGGCUAACUACGUG
Molecule: ribosomal RNA, 497 nt
Filed under: uncultured bacterium
Lineage: Bacteria
Description: partial 16S ribosomal RNA
Rfam family: Bacterial small subunit ribosomal RNA
Source: RNAcentral